RNAcentral lists this ribosomal RNA (2535 nucleotides) under Triticum aestivum (bread wheat). RNAcentral's name for it is "partial small subunit ribosomal RNA". The record is from RNAcentral. Lineage: Eukaryota; Viridiplantae; Streptophyta; Magnoliopsida; Poales; Poaceae.
AUGGGGGUGCUGCGGAGGCGGUGGGCUGUUCCCCUCCUGUGGGCGGCGCUUCUUGCGGUCGCGCUGCUGGGCGGCGCCCGCGGCUCCGGGGACGGCGCCGCGGUGUACAUUGUGACCAUGAAGCAGGUGCCGGUGUCCCACAAGCGCCUCGACCUGGAGAGUUUUGGGAGCAGCGGGGUUGCCGGCGGCGGCGGCGGCGGAAAAGGGGAUAACCCGGCCACCAGCAUUCUCAGGAAGCCGAGGCAUGCUUCACCCAAAUUUGUGAAUUAUGGCUCACUCCUAGUGCGCCUUCAAAAUUCGCUCCUGAAGAAGACACUAAGAGGAGAGCACUAUAUAAAAUUGUACAGUUACCACUACUUGAUCAAUGGUUUUGCUGUUGUCCUCACUCCUCAGCAGGCAGAGAAGCUAAAUAGGAGAAAAGAAGUGGCAAAUAUAAUGUUGGAUUUCUCUGUUAGGACGGCAACAACUUAUACCCCCGAAUUCCUUGGCCUGCCAGAAGGUGCAUGGGUGCAAGAUGGUGGUCCCCAAUGUGCUGGCCAGGGUGUUGUUGUGGGCCUCAUUGAUACAGGAAUCGACCCAAAUCACCCUAGCUUUGCAGAUGACUUGACAGCUGACAAUUAUCCAGUUCCUGCUCACUACUCCGGUAAUUGUGAGGUUACAAGUGAUUUUCCAUCUGGGUCCUGCAACAGAAAGCUUGUUGGAGCUCGACAUUUUGCAGCAUCUGCAAUAACCCGAGGAGUCUUCAAUGCCUCUCAAGAUCUUGCUUCACCAUCUGAUAGUGAUGGCCAUGGGACCCACACAGCAUCCAUCGCUGCUGGUAAUCAUGGCAUACCUGUUAUUGUGGCUGGGCAUCACUUUGGGGAUGCAAGUGGAAUGGCUCCUCGUGCACACAUCGCUGUCUAUAAAGCGCUGUACAAAGGUUUUGGAGGUUUUGCUGCUGAUGUAGUGGCUGCAAUAGAUCAGGCAGCUGAAGAUAAUGUCGACAUAAUCAGUUUAUCUAUUACCCCUAAUAGGAGGCCUCCUGGAUUGGCUACAUUCUUUAAUCCAAUUGAUAUGGCACUAAUGUCAGCUGUGAAAGAUGGCAUAUUUGUUGUGCAAGCUGCAGGAAAUACCGGUCCUUCCCCUAAGAGCAUGUCUUCAUACAGUCCAUGGAUUUUUACUGUAGGCGCUUCUGCCCAUGACAGGGAGUACAACAACUAUGUUGUACUUGGCAACAAUUUGACCAUUUCAGGAGUUGGUCUUGCUCCUGGAACAGAUGGUGAUUCCAUGUACAAUCUGAUUGCUGCACCUCAUGCACUGCAAAAUUAUACCACCACUCCUAUUGAAAUGUCCCUAGGAGAGUGCCAAGAUCCAAGUCAUCUAGAUAAAGAUCUGAUAAAGGGGAAGAUACUGGUCUGCAGCUAUUCCAUAAGAUUUGUGCUUGGCCUCUCUUCUGUGAAGCAAGCUUUGGAUACAGCAAAGAAUGUCAGUGCUGCAGGAGUUAUAUUUUACUUGGAUCCUUUUGUCCUUGGUUUCCAGCUGAACCCAACUCCAAUGGACAUACCUGGACUUAUAAUACCAUCACCUGAUGACUCUAAGAUAUUCCUAAGUUAUUACAACGAUUCGCUUGUACGAGAUGGGACGUCAGACAAAGUUGUCAACUUCGGUGCAGUUGCGAAAAUACUAGGAGGUCUGAAGCCAAAUUAUGGUAGUUCGGCACCAAAAGUGAUGUUUUAUUCUGCUAGGGGGCCUGACCCUGAGGAUAAUACAUUGGCCAAUGCUGAUAUCUUGAAACCAAAUGUGGUAGCACCUGGCAGUUCCAUUUGGGGUGCUUGGAAUUCGCGUGGAUUGGAUUCUGCUGAAUUUACCGGUGAAAGUUUUGCGAUGCUCUCUGGUACAAGUAUGGCUGCACCACACAUUGCUGGCCUUGCGGCGCUAAUCAAGCAGAAGUUUCCUUCUUUUAGUCCAGCAGCUAUAGGUUCCGCGCUGUCUACUACCACAAUUCUCAGUGACAAGCAGGGGAAUCCAAUCAUGUCACAGCGAACAUACAGCAACCCAGACUCCACACAAACUCCAGCUACACCUUUUGACAUGGGGAAUGGGUUUGCCAAUGCCACUGCUGCUUUGGACCCUGGGCUCAUAUUUGAUUGCAGUUACGAUGACUACCUCUCCUUUCUGUGUGGUAUAAAUGGUUCUGCUCCAGUAGUGGCGAACUACACCGGCAACAGCUGCGGGGCCUCCACCAUGACCGGAGCAGACCUGAACCUGCCGUCGAUCACCAUAGCCGUGCUCAACCAGUCGAGAACAAUAACAAGAACGGUCACCAACGUGGCGAGCGACGAGAACUACACGGUCAGUUGCAACGCCCCCUACGGGGCGGCGGCGUCCGUGGCACCGGCUCAGUUCUUCAUCCCCAGCGGGCAGAAGCAGCUCGUGACCUUCGUCGUGAACGCCACCAUGACCAACUCUUCGGUGAGCUUCGGGGACGUCGAGUUCUACGGGGACAAAGGUCACCGGGUGGUCAUUCCGUUCACGGUCAUGUCUAAGGCUGUGUAG